AACGAACGCUGGCGGCAGGCCUAACACAUGCAAGUCGAGCGGACCCUUCGGGGUUAGCGGCGGACGGGUGAGUAACGCGUGGGAAUAUGCCCUUCUCUACGGAAUAGUCCUGGGAAACUGGGGGUAAUACCGGAUACGCUCUCUGGGGGAAAGAUUUAUCGGGGAAGGAUUAGCGCGAGUUGGAUUAGGUGGUUGGUGGGGUAAUGGCCUACCAAGCCGACGAUCCAUAGCUGGUUUGAGAGGAUGAGCAGCCACACUGGGACUGAGACACGGCCCAGACUCCUACGGGAGGCAGGAGUGGGGAAUCUUAGACAAUGGGGGCAACCCUGAUCUAGCCAUGCCGGGUGAGUGAUGAAGGCCUUAGGGUUGUAAAGCUCUUUCAGCUGGGAAGAUAAUGACGGUACCAGCAGAAGAAGCCCCGGCUAACUCCGUG
RNAcentral lists this ribosomal RNA (433 nucleotides) under uncultured bacterium. RNAcentral's name for it is "partial 16S ribosomal RNA". It matches the Rfam family "Bacterial small subunit ribosomal RNA", at positions 29 to 507 of the family's 1533-position model. The record is from RNAcentral.